This 338-nucleotide ribosomal RNA is filed under the name uncultured Glomus. Its description in RNAcentral is "partial 18S ribosomal RNA". The record is from RNAcentral. Lineage: Eukaryota; Fungi; Glomeromycota; Glomeromycetes; Glomerales; Glomeraceae.
CGUAAGGCGCCGAAUGAGUCAUUAAAAAUUAACAUCAUCCGAUCCCUAGUCGGCAUAGUUUAUGGUUAAGACUACAACGGUAUCUGAUCGUCUUCGAUCCCCUAACUUUCGUUCUUGAUUAAUGAAAACAUCCUUGGCAAAAUGCUUUUCGCAGUAGUUAGUCUUCAAUAAAUCCAAAGAAUUUCACCUCUGACAAUUGAAUACUAAUGCCCCCAACUAUCCCUAUUAAUCAUUACGUCGAUCCUAGAAACCAACAAAUAGAAUCAAACGUCCUAUUUCGUUAUUCCAUGCUAAUGUAUUCAAGCGUGAGCCUGCUUUAAACACUUCUUAAUUUUUUC